This 419-nucleotide long non-coding RNA is filed under the name Marmota monax (woodchuck). The record is from RNAcentral. Lineage: Eukaryota; Metazoa; Chordata; Mammalia; Rodentia; Sciuridae.
GAAUGGGCUUUUGGCUUGGAGGUUUACCCCUUCCAGGUGGCAUGGUACAAUGAACUCCUGCCUCCAGCCUUCCACCUGCCACUGCCAGGACCUACCCUGGCCUUCUUGGUACUCAGCACACUGGCCAUGUUUGACCAGGCCUUAAGCCCUUCUUGCAGAGCCACCACCUCCAACCACUAACUGACCCUGUGGAUCAGUGUGUGGCCUACCACCUGAGACGUGUUAGACAGAGCCUCCCAGAGCUGCAGAUGGAAGUCAUUGCUGACUACGAGGUAUACCCCAACGGGUGCCCUAAGAUUCUGGCCCAGACAGCAGCCCAUGUGGCAGGAGCUGCUUAUUACUACCAACGCCAAGAUGUGGAAGCUGACCCAUGGGGAACUCAGCACAUAGCAGGUGUGUGCAUACACCCCCGAUUUGGG